GGGGAUGGCUGCUGUACCCACCUGACGCGCGCGAGAAAACUGAGGCCCAAGGCUGAGAGGCACCUGCCCAAGGUCCUCCAGAGCGGGGUUAUGGAGCACAGAGAGCCCUUGAGACAGCUGCAGCUACCCCACCAAUGAUGGCCAGAGUCCCAGCAUCUUGGCAGCCUAGGCUUCACCAAGAGGUCAAGGUCCUCUUCAGGGGAGACAGCCAUACUCCUGCAGGAAGGCACUGACUGCUAAAAGAUCCUCCUUCCCUCCACUGCCAGAACGAGACCAUCUUGUCAGCUCUCGCCUGGGCAAAACCUCCAUGAGGUUUUGUGCCGGAAACCUCACCCCCAAAGACACAUGGGAUAGGAUCAACAGGAUAAGGAACAGUAAGAACACUUCCGCAAGUCUGGGUCCCUUGGUCUAGAAUAGCACCCAGCAGGGGGAUGGAGGGAGGGGCCCAGGACACACAAGCUUUAGCUCCAUAGCCUAGAAUGGACUUGGUCAUUUGGAGUCCUGAGGUCCUUUCCAUUUAAAGUCUUCCCAUCAAUGGGAAGUAAUUAACUAUGCCUCCCCCUCACU
Molecule: long non-coding RNA, 567 nt
Organism: Ochotona princeps (American pika)
Lineage: Eukaryota; Metazoa; Chordata; Mammalia; Lagomorpha; Ochotonidae
Exons: 3
Source: RefSeq, a predicted model, not a curated record